RNAcentral lists this ribosomal RNA (496 nucleotides) under uncultured bacterium. Its description in RNAcentral is "bacterial SSU rRNA". It matches the Rfam family "Bacterial small subunit ribosomal RNA", at positions 28 to 533 of the family's 1533-position model. The record is from RNAcentral.
GACGAACGCUGGCGGCGUGCCUAACACAUGCAAGUCGAACGAGGUCCAUGCAGUGGCAACACUGCGGAAGACCUAGUGGCGAACGGGUGAGUAACACGUGAGGAACCUGCCCCGAAGACCGGGAUAACCCUCCGAAAGGAGAGCUAAUACCGGAUAUCCCCAUCGGAUCGCAUGAUCUGAUGAGGAAAUGGAUUCCGCUUCGGGAGGGCCUCGCGGCCUAUCAGCUUGUUGGCGGGGUAACGGCCCACCAAGGCAUCGACGGGUAGCUGGUCUGAGAGGACGAUCAGCCACACUGGGACUGAGACACGGCCCAGACUCCUACGGGAGGCAGCAGUGGGGAAUCUUGCGCAAUGGGCGAAAGCCUGACGCAGCAACGCCGCGUGGGGGAUGAAGGCUCUCGGGUUGUAAACCCCUUUCAGCAGGGACGAAUCAAGACGGUACCUGCAGAAGAAGCCCCGGCUAACUACGUGCCAGCAGCCGCGGUAAAGUACAGUGU